Long non-coding RNA from Myxocyprinus asiaticus (Chinese sucker), 1064 nucleotides. RefSeq lists it as uncharacterized. The record is from RefSeq and is a predicted model, not a curated record. The transcript has 3 exons. NCBI's taxonomy places the organism in Eukaryota, Metazoa, Chordata, Actinopteri, Cypriniformes, Catostomidae.
AAACAAAUCAUAACACUGCCGAGGAGACCAAAGGCCGUUCUUUCUGAAUGGAUGUUAAUGGAGGAGAUGCUUCAGUACGCCGAAUAAACUACUUUUUGGCUUGAAGUUCACAUGCUCCCAAGACAAACCAUGCCUGACAGUGAGAACGCAGAAGAAAGAAAGUCAAACACAUCUGGGAUGGCAUGAGGGUGAGUAAAUGAUGAACUAUCCCUUUAAUGGGAGAUACCACAUAGUUUUGGAUUGAUGUAACAAUUUUGACUUUGCACUUCAGCUUAAAAAACAAACAAAAAAACAUCCAAAGUUACAGUGAACAGAAUUUAUGAACAUUUCAUUUUUGUGACUUUACAACAACUUUGCUUUUAACAUUGAUUAGCAACUUUUCAAUACAUUUUUUAAAGUGAUCAUUUUAUCAUAUAACGUAAUAUGUUUUGUUUCAUAACUGGUGCAUAUGGAUAUUUUUAGAUUUAGCUUCUUAAAUUUUAUUUAAGAAUUGCUGAUAAUCAUCAUAGGGGUUUAUACAAAUAUUUUUUCUAGAUAUUUUAUGGGCAAUUUUUAUUUAAAAUGAAAAGGAAUAAAAGCAUGCUCAUUUACACCCACAAAGUGUUAAUAUUUUGUUACAUAACCAACCUUUUGACAAAAGAGGCUAAUUACCAACCUCUGAGUUGUUGUCCAUUACAUUAAAGGGGUGGGGGGGGGUAUAUUACUUUUGCAAAUUUGUGCAUUUCAUACGACUAUAAAAACGGACAAAUGUGUAAACUAUGUGUAUUUAAAUGAUAAAUCAAAUUAUAAACCUGGUAAAGUUUCAAUUUUAAUUAAAGGAAAUUAUUUUUAUUUAGCUUAUUCACCUGCAGUUGCUGUGAAAGUCUCAGCUGGUUUAAAUCAUGUGUGGUUUCACCUGUAGAUGUCAGUAAAAUCUAAACAAUCUCUUGAAAUUUCAGUUCUUAGUGAGUAAGCAAAGAAGGAAGCUCGUUAUGUUUCGAUUGCCCCGAGGCAGGAACUCCACAAACCUCCUUGAAAAAAAAAAAAAGAAAGAGAAAAGAAACCUGUUACAAACAUCACAUCAG